This is a long non-coding RNA of Etheostoma cragini (Arkansas darter), 110 nucleotides long. RefSeq lists it as uncharacterized. The transcript has 3 exons. Lineage: Eukaryota; Metazoa; Chordata; Actinopteri; Perciformes; Percidae. The record is from RefSeq and is a predicted model, not a curated record.
UGAAUAUGGAAAAAAAAAUAUAAUCACGAUUAUUUUGGUCAAUUUUGAAAUCCCCAUAAUUUAACACGAUUACUCGUUGACUUCUGGAAAGAAGUUUCAAUUAUUGAACU